Long non-coding RNA from Oncorhynchus tshawytscha (Chinook salmon), 1954 nucleotides. The record is from Ensembl. NCBI's taxonomy places the organism in Eukaryota, Metazoa, Chordata, Actinopteri, Salmoniformes, Salmonidae.
GUUGUGUCAGACUUUAGAGUGUGAAAAGUAGCUAACAGCUAAAUGCUCUCUCAUGUCUCGUCAUUGAGCAGAACAGCCCAACUAGAACUGUUGCUAUGGUUACUCAUCGACUCACAGAGUGCAUGCAGAGCGAGCUGCUCGCAGGGAGCAAGUUAUAGACAGAGAGGACGUUAUUUAUGAUUUCGGGUUUCGGGCAGGGCCAGGCUUUAAAUUUGCAGAAGUAAUCAGGCCUGGUUCGGGUGGGGCCUGAAUGUCGUGGGCCUGGGUAGGUAAUGAAUGUCGUGGGCCUGAAUGUCGUGGGCCUGGGUAGGUAAUGAAUGUCGUAGGCCUGGGUAGAUCAUGAAUGUUGCGGGCCUGAAUGUCGUGGGCCUGGGUAGAUCAUGAAUGUCGUGGGCCUGGGUAGGUAAUGAAUGUCGCGGGCCUGGGUAGGUAAGGAAUGUCGUGGACCUGGGCAGGUAAUGAAUGUUGUGGGCCUGGGUAGAUAAUGAAUGUUGUGGGCCUGGGUAGAUAAUGAAUGUCGUGGGCCUGGGUAGAUAAUGAAUGUCGCGGGCCUGGGUCGGUUAUGAAUGUCGCGGGCCUGGGUCGGUAAUGAAUGUCGUGGGCCUGAAUGUUGUGGGCCUGGGUAGGUAAUGGAUGUCGCGGGCCUGGGUCGGUAAUGAAUGUCGUGGGCCUGGGUCGGUAAUGAAUGGCGUGGGCCUGGGUCGGUAAUGAAUGUCGUGGGCCUGGGUAGAUAAUGAAUGUCGUGGGCCUGGGUCGGUAAUGAAUGUCAUGGGCCUGGGUAGAUUAUAAAUGUCGCAGGCUUGAAUAUCACGGGCAUGGGUAUGAUUCGGGCUUAAAAUUCAUGCCAGUGCAGGGCUCUCCCAGAAUAUUCUAUAGCAUAAUGUGGUUAGCUGAUACGUAAAAUACCUAUCCAGGCUUUGUCAUUUCUGGCAUGAAUCAGCUAUAUCUGAGCAAUAUCCCUCCCCACUCCAUCUGCAGUAUAGGUUUGGUAGUCUUUAUAACAGAGUGUAUAUGCUCUGUCCUCGUUGGCUGGCUGGGUCCUUGCUGACAGGUUGGCAGUGAGAGGUAUCAUUUAUCACCAGGCCUGAGGGCUCACCACACCACAAGCACCAGAUGUUACCACCACACACACACACACACACACACACAUAUACAUACACCGUUGUGUGCUAUUGUUCUCCCUCACCGGUCUUUGUUCUUUCUCCCCCAUACACACCUGGAUAUCCACACACACACACACCAAAGCAAGCUGUCCUUCCUUCCACACAAAUGACCAGCUCAGUACUGUGUGUACUGUAGUGACUUCACCCUCACUGGUACAGCAAGGCAACAGACUGUUGAUACAUGACAUCAACAUACUGUUGACUUCAACAUAAAACACAGGACGUCCUCCAACCUAUCAGAGUUCUUGCAGCAUAAACUGACAUGUUGUCCACCCAAUCAAAGGUUGAGAGAAUUUAUCUAGUACUGAAAUCAUAAGUUACAGCUAGCUAGCACUGCAGUGCAUAAAAUGUGGUGAGUAUUUGACUCAAAGUGAGAAAAAUAAUAAUUUCUUCCAAAAUUAUGGAGAAGCAAGAAAGUGAGAAAGAGAGCUAGUUCUUGUAAUUCUUACCAGCAAUCUGGCCAUCCAAAAUCACAACAACACACUGACCUCUGCCCCAUGGAAGUGCACACAUAAUUUGUGUGACAUUGUCAGCUAACCCAUCUAUACCCCUAUGCCUGAGACGGAAGAAGAAGCAAGACAUCCCACUCCCUAAUUUUUUCUGGUUCAUAUACAGUCAAUGAACUAAGCAGACCCAUUUGCUAAUGCAUUGGUGCCUAUGAGAGAGCCACACUGUUAAGCAGACCGGAACUGACAGUGGGAGAUCUUUAUUUAUCCACCAUCUUUGGUCAGGCAUCAUUGAUGUGGUCCUUUGUACCACAGUUGGUAGAGCAUGGCAUUUGUAGCGCCAAG